This 466-nucleotide ribosomal RNA is filed under the name uncultured Sulfuricurvum sp. RNAcentral describes it as "bacterial SSU rRNA". It matches the Rfam family "Bacterial small subunit ribosomal RNA", at positions 919 to 1382 of the family's 1533-position model. Lineage: Bacteria; Pseudomonadati; Campylobacterota; Epsilonproteobacteria; Campylobacterales; Sulfurimonadaceae. The record is from RNAcentral.
ACCCGCACAAGUGGUGGAGCAUGCGGUUUAAUUCGAAGAUACACGAAGAACCUUACCUGGCCUUGACAUGGUAGGAACCCUUAAGAGAUUAGGGGGUGCUAGCUUGCUAGAACCUACACACAGGUGCUGCACGGCUGUCGUCAGCUCGUGUCGUGAGAUGUUGGGUUAAGUCCCGCAACGAGCGCAACCCUCGUCCUUAGUUGCUAACAGUUCGGCUGAGCACUCUAGGGAGACUGCCUUCGCAAGGAGGAGGAAGGUGAGGACGACGUCAAGUCAUCAUGGCCCUUACGGCCUGGGCUACACACGUGCUACAAUGGUCGGUACAAAGGGUUGCCAAGCCGCGAGGUGGAGCUAAUCCCAUAAAACCGAUCGUAGUCCGGAUCGCAGUCUGCAACUCGACUGCGUGAAGUCGGAAUCACUAGUAAUCGUGAAUCAGAAUGUCACGGUGAAUACGUUCCCGGGCCUU